UUUAUAGUUACCAAUAGACUGUUCCAAUAGCAAUAAUUGAAUAGAGUAGACUUCAUAUAACUUUGUCCCAAAUAUCAUCUCUUUUUACAAUCCACACACUUCAUCUUUUUCUUCUCAAAUUUUAAAAACUUAACUGAAUUCAUGGCAUCAACUUCUUCUUCUUGUUCUGGGUGCUGUCCUCGAUGGAAGUACGAUGUCUUCUUAAGUUUUAGAGGUGAAGAUACUCGUAAAACAAUUAUAGGUUACUUGUAUGAACGUUUGACAAGGAAGGGAAUAAUUGCCUUUCAAGAUGAUAAAAGGCUAGAGCGUGGCGAUUCAAUCCCAGAAGAACUCUUGAAAGCUAUCCAAGAUUCUCAAGUUGCCCUCAUCAUUUUCUCAGGGAAUUAUGCUACAUCGAGGUGGUGCUUGGAUGAACUAGUGAAGAUCAUGGAAUGCACCAAGGAUGAAAAUGAAAAAAUAGUCAUGCCGGUAUUCUAUGGUGUGGAACCAUCACAUGUUCGAAACCAAAGUGACAGCUUUGCUGAAGCAUUUGCCAAACAUGAAUCAAAGUAUAAGGAUGAUGGUGAGGGGAUGCAGAAGGUGAAAGGAUGGAGGACUGCCCUAACUGCUGCCGCAAAUCUAAAAGGAUAUGUAUUCGGUAAUGGGGUUGAAUCUGACUAUAUUGAGUGUAUUGUUGAUGAAAUUUCGUUCAAAUGCAAGAGUUCAGUAUCUUAUUUGCACAAAGUUGUGGGAAUAGAUGCUCAAUUAGAGAAAGUAGAAUCCCUACUAAAGAUGGAAAUCAAUGAUGUUCGGAUUGUGUGGAUCUGGGGAAUGGGGGGAGUCGGUAAAACGACAAUAGCAAAGACUAUUUUUUAUAACCUCUCGUCCAAAUUUAAAGAUAGUUGUUUCCUUGAGGAUAUCAAAGAAAACAAACAUAGAAUGCACUCUCUGCAAAAUAUCCUUCUCUCUAAACUAUUAGGGGAAAAAGAAAAUUGUGUGAACAAUAAGGAGGAGGGGAAGCACCUGCUGGCUCGUAGACUUCGGUUUAAGAAGGUUUUAAUUGUGCUUGAUGACUUAAAUCACAUUGACCAGUUGGAUUACCUAGCAGGGGAUCUUGAUUGGUUUGGCAAUGGCAGUAGGAUUAUUGCAACCACUAGAGACAAGCGUUUGAUAAGGAAGGAUGUAGUACAUGAAGUGGAAACACUACUUGACUGUGAUGCUAUUAAACUGUUCAAUCAAUAUGCUUUCAUGAAAGAAGUUCCUGAUGAGUGUUUUAAGGAUCUAAUGUUGGAGAUAGUAAGUCAUGCUAAAGGCCAUCCUUUAGCGUUGAAAGUGUGGGGUUCUUCAUUACACGGGAAGGGUAUAAUUGUGUGGAGAAGUGCUCUAGACCGAAUGAAGAAAAACCCUGGUUCAGAAAUUAUUGAAAACCUCAAAAUAAGUUAUGAUGGGUUGGAGCCUGAAGAGCAAGAGAUUUUUCUAGAUAUAGCAUGUUUCUUCCGAGGAAAUGAAAAAAAAGAAGUCAUGCAAAUCCUUGAGAGUUGUGAUUUUCCAGCUGAAUAUGGAUUGAGCGUCCUUAUUGACAAAUCUCUCGUGUUCAUCUCUAGCCAUAAUAAAAUUCAUAUGCAUGACUUAAUACAAGAUAUGGGUAAAUAUGUAGUGAAAAUGCAAAAGGAUCCGGGCGAACGUAGCAGAUUAUGGCUAGCUGAAGAUUUCGAAGAAGUGAUGGUCAAUAAUACGGUAACCAAGGCAACAGAAGCAAUCUGGUUUCGUUAUCGUCAAAAAAUAUGCUUUAGCAAAGAGGCCAUGAAUAGUAUAAAAAAUCUUAGGAUAUUAUACAUAUGUCAGGAGCAUGCAUUCACAUGCAUCAAUUGCCAUGAUGGCUCCAUUGAGUACCUUUCUAACAACUUGCGUUGGCUUUCCUGGAAUCAUUAUCCUUGGGAGUCAUUGCCAGCUAAAUUUGAACCCAAAAAGCUUGUUUAUCUUCAACUAAGGUUCAGUUCACUGCGUCAUUUAUGGACCGAAACAAAGUAUUUGCGGUCCCUACAAAAGCUAGAUCUCAGGGACUCAAAAAGCUUGACACGAACACCAAAUUUCACGGGGAUGCCAAAUUUGGAGUAUCUGUAUUUGAGAUCUUGUAGUAAUCUUGAAGAGGUUCAUGAUUCCCUGGGAUGUUCUAGAAAACUCAUUUGGUUAGAUUUGAGUGAUUGUGGCCGCCUUAAGAGGUUUCCAUGUGUUAACUUGGAAUCUCUUGAAUAUCUGACUCUACAAUAUUGCUCUAGUUUAGAGAAAUUUCCAGAGCUCCUAGGAAGAAGUAACCUGGAGUUAGAGAUUUCGGUGAGAAGCACUGGGAUAAGGGAACUACCAGCAUCUAUUCAGUACCAGACUCAUAUUACCAAGCUAGAUUUAAGUCGUUUAGAAGACCUCGUAGCUCUUCCAAGAGGCAUCGGAAUGUUGAAAAGCUUGGUGGAUCUAUAUUUGUGGGGUUGUAAACAACUUGAAAGCUUGCCAGAGGAGGUAGGAGAUUUAGAAAACUUGAAGGUGCUUGAUGCCCAACAAACUCUAAUUUCACGACCUCCGUCUUCCAUCAUGUGCUUAAACAAACUUAAAUCCUUAAAGUUUGGAAAAGAUAUUGAAGAAAUAGGGUAUUCAGAAGGCUUAGAAGAUGAAGUGUACUUUGUGUUCCCUCCGGUGGCAGAAGGGUUAUGCUCAUUGGAAUAUCUGGAUCUCAGUUACUGCAAUUUACUAGAUGGAGGACUUCCGGAAGACAUUGGAUGCUUAUCCUCUUUGAAAAAGUUGUAUCUCAAUGGAAAUAAUUUUGUGCAUUUGCCUCGAAGCAUUGCCCAUCUUGGUGCGCUUCAAUCUUUGAACAUAAAAAAUUGCAAGAGACUCAAAGAGUUGCCAGAUUUCACCGGGAUGCCAAAUUUGGAGUAUUUGUAUCUCAGAUCUUGUAGUAAUCUUGAAGAGGUUCAUGAUUCCCUGGGAUGUUCUAGAAAACUUAUUCAGUUAGAUUUGAGUGAUUGUGAAAGACUUCAGAGGUUUCCAUGUGUUAACGUGGAAUGCCUUGAAUAUCUGGAUCUACGAGAUUGCUCUAGUUUAGAGAAGUUUCCAGAAAUGCUCGGAAGAAUGAAGCCGGAGUUAGAGAUUUACAUGAGACCCUCUGGGAUAAGGGAAAUACCAUCAUGUAUUAUUCAACAACAAGCAUGUCUUACAGAGCUAAAUUUGAGUUAUAUGAUAAACCUUGAAGCUUUUCCAAGCAACAUUUGUAAGUUGAAGGGUUUGGUGAAGCUAAAUGUAUCGUACUGCCCAAAACUUGAAAGCUUGCCAGAAGAGAUAGGUGAUUUAGAAAACUUGGAGUGGCUUGAUGCCACAUGGACUCUAAUUUCACGACCUCCUUCUUCCAUUGUCCACUUGAACAAGCUUAAAUUCUUAAGUUUUAAAAAAUAUAAAUCAAAAGAUGGAGUGUGCUUUGUGUUCCCUCAAGUGAAUGAAGGGUUACACUCAUUGGAACAUUUGAAUCUCAAUCACUGCAAUCUAAUAGAUGGAGGACUUCCGGAAGACAUUGGAUGCUUAUCCUCUUUGAAAGAGUUGUAUCUUUGUGAAAAUAAUUUUGAGCAUUUGCCUCGAAGCAUAACCCAACUUGGUGCUCUUCUAUCCUUGGACUUAUCACAGUGCAAGAGGCUCAAAGAGUUGCCAGAUUUCACGGGGAUGCCAAACUUGGAGACUUUGAAUCUGUCAAAUUGUAUGAAUCUUGAAGAGGUUGAUCAUUCCGUGGGAUUUCUCAAAAAGCUUUGUACAUUAAAAUUGACUAAUUGUAAAAGGCUUAAGAUGUUUCCAGUUCUGUGCAUUGAUUCCCUUGAAUAUAUGGUUAUGUGUGGGUGUUCUAGUUUAGAAAAUUUUCCAGAAAUCAUCGGAAGCAAGCAAGUGGAGUCAGAGAUUCACAUGCUAGACAGUGUGAUGAGGGAUCUAAAUUCGGUGUAUAUUUCAUUUCCAGAUUCCUUGUCUCAGAAUAUCAUUUCCUUGCAGCAUGACAUCUCUGGUUCAGAUUCCUCGUCACUAAGAGUGUUUACCAUUGAGCAUCCUGGGAAGAAGAUCCCAAGAUGGUUCCACCAUCAGGGAACGGAUAAAAGUGUAUCAGUCAAUUUGCCUCAGAAUUGGUAUGUAUUGGAUAACUUUGUGGGAUUUGCUGUAUGUUACUCUGGCUGCUUAACUGAAACUACAGCUCAAUUGAUUCCCUUGUGUGAUGAUGGCAUAUCGUGGAUGACCCUGGAAGUGAAAUCAUCCCACCAUUCAAAACGGAUUACAGAACCUAAGAUUCAUUUUUUCUUGGUACCUCUUGCUAGAUUAUGGGAUCCAUCUAAGGCAAAUGGAAAAACACCAAAUGACUAUGGAAUUGUUAGAUUAUCUUUCUCUGGAAAAAUGAAGGAGUAUGGAUGUCGUUUGUUGUAUAAAGAUGAACCAGACCUCGAAGCCUUGUUACAAAUAAGGAAAAAUAAUGAUAAACCAACAGAGAACUCCAUGAACAAUGAAGCCAGCUGCUCCUCUUGUAAGAGACAUUCUAAUAUUCGUGGGAGAGUCACCAGUCUCUUCAGAAAUUUUGCAGCUCUUUCGUGCAAACCCAGGAAUUUCUCUUAAAUAUUGUUCCGAUGUGAAGGACUAGGCUGUCUCCUAAAUAAUUACAGUAAAUAUCAUGUUCGUUUUGUGAUGGAACCAUUAAGGGCAUAUGUUGGUUAAGCAAGGGCAAGAGUUUGAGGAAAAAUCAGAAGUUCUUUGUCGAAUGGUGGGACGAUUCAGUUUAACACUUCUGCACUAAAACAUUUUCUUGUUGAAAGGUCUUGAGAUACGUUGGAAUCGUGGACGCUGCCAACAGAAAAGGGCCUGUCGAGCUGCAAAGAUACAGUAAGGAACACCCAUUUGCACAACUCUCAGGAUCGGAUGCAUGGUCCGGGUGCUGGGGCUGAAGUGAC
RNA transcript from Solanum stenotomum, 4943 nucleotides. It is a transcript of the gene named TMV resistance protein N-like, with no coding region annotated. NCBI's taxonomy places the organism in Eukaryota, Viridiplantae, Streptophyta, Magnoliopsida, Solanales, Solanaceae. The transcript has 7 exons. The record is from RefSeq and is a predicted model, not a curated record.